This 1206-nucleotide ribosomal RNA is filed under the name Escherichia coli. Its description in RNAcentral is "partial 23S ribosomal RNA". It matches the Rfam family "Bacterial large subunit ribosomal RNA", at positions 1 to 1248 of the family's 2925-position model. The record is from RNAcentral. Lineage: Bacteria; Pseudomonadati; Pseudomonadota; Gammaproteobacteria; Enterobacterales; Enterobacteriaceae.
GGUUAAGCGACUAAGCGUACACGGUGGAUGCCCUGGCAGUCAGAGGCGAUGAAGGACGUGCUAAUCUGCGAUAAGCGUCGGUAAGGUGAUAUGAACCGUUAUAACCGGCGAUUUCCGAAUGGGGAAACCCAGUGUGUUUCGACACACUAUCAUUAACUGAAUCCAUAGGUUAAUGAGGCGAACCGGGGGAACUGAAACAUCUAAGUACCCCGAGGAAAAGAAAUCAACCGAGAUUCCCCCAGUAGCGGCGAGCGAACGGGGAGCAGCCCAGAGCCUGAAUCAGUGUGUGUGUUAGUGGAAGCGUCUGGAAAGGCGCGCGAUACAGGGUGACAGCCCCGUACACAAAAAUGCACAUGCUGUGAGCUCGAUGAGUAGGGCGGGACACGUGGUAUCCUGUCUGAAUAUGGGGGGACCAUCCUCCAAGGCUAAAUACUCCUGACUGACCGAUAGUGAACCAGUACCGUGAGGGAAAGGCGAAAAGAACCCCGGCGAGGGGAGUGAAAAAGAACCUGAAACCGUGUACGUACAAGCAGUGGGAGCACGCUUAGGCGUGUGACUGCGUACCUUUUGUAUAAUGGGUCAGCGACUUAUAUUCUGUAGCAAGGUUAACCGAAUAGGGGAGCCGAAGGGAAACCGAGUCUUAACUGGGCGUUAAGUUGCAGGGUAUAGACCCGAAACCCGGUGAUCUAGCCAUGGGCAGGUUGAAGGUUGGGUAACACUAACUGGAGGACCGAACCGACUAAUGUUGAAAAAUUAGCGGAUGACUUGUGGCUGGGGGUGAAAGGCCAAUCAAACCGGGAGAUAGCUGGUUCUCCCCGAAAGCUAUUUAGGUAGCGCCUCGUGAAUUCAUCUCCGGGGGUAGAGCACUGUUUCGGCAAGGGGGUCAUCCCGACUUACCAACCCGAUGCAAACUGCGAAUACCGGAGAAUGUUAUCACGGGAGACACACGGCGGGUGCUAACGUCCGUCGUGAAGAGGGAAACAACCCAGACCGCCAGCUAAGGUCCCAAAGUCAUGGUUAAGUGGGAAACGAUGUGGGAAGGCCCAGACAGCCAGGAUGUUGGCUUAGAAGCAGCCAUCAUUUAAAGAAAGCGUAAUAGCUCACUGGUCGAGUCGGCCUGCGCGGAAGAUGUAACGGGGCUAAACCAUGCACCGAAGCUGCGGCAGCGACACUAUGUGUUGUUGGGUAGGGGAGCGUUCUGUAAGC